CUGUCGGGUAAGGAGUAGCCGACCGCCCGUACCGAGUCCUUGGGGUCGAACUGGUAACAUAAGCUCUAAGCGUAGGACAGGGAGCAACAGAGCCGUAACGCAAGUGAAGUGAUUGAGCCGGGAAAUAAUUGAAAGUGGGAAUAGGUCGAUGUCUUCUUUACGACAGCAGACAACAUCUGACUAACCGAAAAAGGCGAGGUUAGUUGGGCAGCCCCCGGUCUGAGAGC
This 227-nucleotide non-coding RNA is filed under the name uncultured Ruminococcus sp. Lineage: Bacteria; Bacillati; Bacillota; Clostridia; Eubacteriales; Oscillospiraceae. The record is from RNAcentral.